UGUUGACCUCGAAUCAGGUAGGAAUACCCGCUGAACUUAAGCAUAUCAAUAAGCGGAGGA
This 60-nucleotide ribosomal RNA is filed under the name Fusarium lichenicola. RNAcentral's name for it is "partial 28S ribosomal RNA". It matches the Rfam family "Eukaryotic large subunit ribosomal RNA", at positions 1 to 57 of the family's 3401-position model. RNAcentral also lists the same sequence under 2 other names. The record is from RNAcentral. Lineage: Eukaryota; Fungi; Ascomycota; Sordariomycetes; Hypocreales; Nectriaceae.